This is a long non-coding RNA of Zophobas morio, 197 nucleotides long. RefSeq lists it as uncharacterized. The record is from RefSeq and is a predicted model, not a curated record. Lineage: Eukaryota; Metazoa; Arthropoda; Insecta; Coleoptera; Tenebrionidae. The transcript has 3 exons.
AUUUAUAUAAUGACUUUGGGAGUUUUGGAAAAAUAUCGCGGUUUGGGAAUCGGAACUUUACUUUUGAAACACAUCAUAAACCUUUGCGAAAAAGAUACCUCUCUAGUUGAAAUUUUUCUUCAUGUUCAAAUUGAUAAUCAAGAAGCGCUUAACUUUUACAAAAAAUUUUCUUUUCAGCAAGUGGAGCUUGUGAAAAA